Molecule: ribosomal RNA, 253 nt
Filed under: uncultured bacterium
Lineage: Bacteria
Description: partial 16S ribosomal RNA
Rfam family: Bacterial small subunit ribosomal RNA
Source: RNAcentral
UACGUAGGGUGCAAGCGUUAAUCGGAAUUACCGGGCGUAAAGCGUGCGCAGGCGGUGAUGUAAGACAGAUGUGAAAUCCCCGGGCUCAACCUGGGAACUGCAUUUGUGACUGCAUCGCUGGAGUGCGGCAGAGGGGGAUGGAAUUCCGCGUGUAGCAGUGAAAUGCGUAGAUAUGCGGAGGAACACCGAUGGCGAAGGCAAUCCCCUGGGCCUGCACUGACGCUCAUGCACGAAAGCGUGGGGAGCAAACAGG